UACUAUAUAUUACAUAUAUUGUAUGUGAGUGUAGUUACAUGAAUAUGGUUUUUAAAAAAUGAAGGUAAAAAUUACCUCAUUAGAGGAUUAGUGUGACCAGCUUUGUCGACAUAUCUCUUGGCUAACCAACGAGUUGCUUGCUACUGUACUGCAUUGCUUUUUUGUUUAUAUUAUGUUCUUAACUUCUAUGGUAGUCACGAGUAAUCACAUCCUAAUGUAAUCUUUAUGACUUUCAGAUACGACAGAAUCAGGCAGCAAGUACGAGAGGAGUAAAGGAGUUGCCUGUAAACCUCAGGCCGGUUGGGAAACACCUUCGUAGCGGGGGCGGCUAAUCCGCACGUCUCAGCUCUUCCCCGAAAGAGAAGCCACGACCAGAGAGCGAUGCGGAAUGGGGAGUGGACGCAGUUGCAGAAGGCAGACGGAGGAAGGAGGAAGGGAAGCUGGGACAGGAGCGUUGGCAAGCGUCCGUCUGUCCGUCUGUUCCCCGGUCUGCGCGUCCGUCUGCGUGCUCACUGCUGCUGC
Anguilla rostrata (American eel) is the source of this 522-nucleotide long non-coding RNA. RefSeq lists it as uncharacterized. NCBI's taxonomy places the organism in Eukaryota, Metazoa, Chordata, Actinopteri, Anguilliformes, Anguillidae. The transcript has 3 exons. The record is from RefSeq and is a predicted model, not a curated record.